CAUAUUCUGCUGAAGGUAUUUUUGGAGGAGUUUUACAUUUCUGAUCAUUUCGUGUAGUUGUAGCAAGAUUCUGCCCUCCAACACGGACUCUUAUCACUACCCGAAAACGCAAAAUAUUUCGGUUCACAACCCGUUGUGCGUCAAAAAAAACACACAUAGAUUGCCCGUGGGAAGUGUGAACGGGGAGGUGAGUCGAAGAACGCAGUUUUUAAGAGGUUAAAUCGGCUCUGGAAAAACCCAUUGUCUGACUACUGAGAGGGGGGAGCGGCGCAUACCAUUCAACAAGCCAUUCAGCUUCACUGUAUGGGGAUCCGUUGUUUCCAAUCCCCCCUACCCGAGGUGAAGGGGUCCAGUUGAGCACAUUUAGGGGAUUCAAAAUCUAAAUUCGAUAUUGUGGGAUAAAUACUGAAUAGACCUGUUUUGUUUUUUGUUUUCGUUUUUUGUCCUUAGUUUUGUCCCGCUCCUACCCUGGAUUAAAGAGUGGGAGUGAUCCAGGGGAGCGAUGCUUGUAGUUUGCCGUCUCCGCGUUUAUAUUCUUGACCUGGGCAAAGAAACCCCGAAAAGUUAAAAGAGAUCACACAGCGCGAGACAGAAAGUCAUACAAAAAAUGAUGUGAGCGCCAGAGCUCUGACGCGUUGCUAUUACUGGAUUUUUUUUCUUCUUCUGCGUCUUAUUUCAAAAAUCCCCAUUUUCACAGGCUUCAGAACCAGCCGCGCGGAGACUUUGGAGGACUUUCCCCCCCGUUCUAAAUCGAUGUGAUUUGUAUGGGAUCGUAGGCAUGCGUGCCCGUCCGAUGUGAGCUCGCCGCGCGGAGACGGCAUGGCAAAGAAGAAUUAGUUCAAAAAAGCUGUUAUAUCCGAAGAACACACAACUUCUUAAAAGAGCUACACUUGCAUGGUUGUUUAUUUUAUUUUUUUAAAGAAACAAACACAAACGGAAUACAAAACAAACAAUUUACUGUCAAUCGCGGCUCUGUUUCCAAUUCGAAAAGUUUCUUUCCGUCCACGACUAGGAGACUAUUGCCGUUGCGAGUACAUUUAAGGAAAUUUGCAGAGCUAAUAGUUUAUCAAAUUGAAUUCUUUAAUAUUUUAACUGGACAUACCAACAGUCAAUGCGCAAGACACAAAUCAGGAUUUGAAGUUCGACACCAGUGUUAUAAUUCGACAUCAGGAUUAUGAAGGACAGACCAUCAAUAUUAUUGCACUAAUAAUUUGGAUUAUACAAGUCGCGAGAAACCUUGGAAUGAUGACUGCCAAUUCCAUGGGAUUCUUGCUUUUUGUUGGAUUUCUUCACGUUUGCUCAGUCUUAUCGACAUCCUGUUGCCAGCUCUCCUUCCACCUCGCAAAUGAAAACAAGCUGCUUCCAGUUUCCUCUCGCGGUACCGAGCGGCCGGGCCGCCGUCUCUUCGAGUUAGGCCUCCUCAGAAGAGCGCUCUUUCUUCCGGGCGGCGCUGCCAGCAUCCUCCAGCUCGCCGCUUUCAGUUAAUUAGAGGCGAUUGUUGGGAUCCCCGGCUCGAUUCGGGCGCGCUCAUUGUGUUUGUGACUUAUCUUCGCCAACAGCUGAAUGCAUUUUGUGGAUGUAUAACUCGAGUAUGUAAAUAAAUCUUUCCACCCCC
Molecule: long non-coding RNA, 1615 nt
Organism: Anguilla rostrata (American eel)
Lineage: Eukaryota; Metazoa; Chordata; Actinopteri; Anguilliformes; Anguillidae
Exons: 2
Source: RefSeq, a predicted model, not a curated record